GGGCCCGUAGUCUAGCCUGGGAGGACGCCGCCCUUACACGGCGGAGGUCCGGGGUUCAAAUCCCCGCGGGCCCACCA
RNAcentral lists this transfer RNA (77 nucleotides) under Desulfurococcales archaeon. Its description in RNAcentral is "tRNA-Val". It matches the Rfam family "tRNA". Rfam says of the family: Transfer RNA (tRNA) molecules are approximately 80 nucleotides in length. Lineage: Archaea; Thermoproteati; Thermoproteota; Thermoprotei; Desulfurococcales. The record is from RNAcentral.